GACGAACGCUGGCGGCGUGCCUAAUACAUGCAAGUCGAACGAACUCUGGUAUUGAUUGGUGCUUGCAUCAUGAUUUACAUUUGAGUGAGUGGCGAACUGGUGAGUAACACGUGGGAAACCUGCCCAGAAGCGGGGGAUAACACCUGGAAACAGAUGCUAAUACCGCAUAACAACUUGGACCGCAUGGUCCGAGUUUGAAAGAUGGCUUCGGCUAUCACUUUUGGAUGGUCCCGCGGCGUAUUAGCUAGAUGGUGGGGUAACGGCUCACCAUGGCAAUGAUACGUAGCCGACCUGAGAGGGUAAUCGGCCACAUUGGGACUGAGACACGGCCCAAACUCCUACGGGAGGCAGCAGUAGGGAAUCUUCCACAAUGGACGAAAGUCUGAUGGAGCAACGCCGCGUGAGUGAAGAAGGGUUUCGGCUCGUAAAACUCUGUUGUUAAAGAAGAACAUAUCUGAGAGUAACUGUUCAGGUAUUGACGGUAUUUAACCAGAAAGCCACGGCUAACUACGUGCCAGCAGCCGCGGUAAUACGUAGGUGGCAAGCGUUGUCCGGAUUUAUUGGGCGUAAAGCGAGCGCAGGCGGUUUUUUAAGUCUGAUGUGAAAGCCUUCGGGUUCCACCGAAAAAAGGGCAUGGAAACUGGGAAACUUGAGUGCAGAAGAGGACAGUGGAACUCCCAUGUGUUACGGUGAAAUGCGUAGAUAUAUGGAAGAACACCAGUGGCGGAGGCGGCUGUCUGGUCUGUAACUGACGCUGAGGCUCGAAAGUAUGGGUAGCAAACAGGAUUAGAUACCCUGGUAGUCCAUACCGUAAACGAUGAAUGCUAAGUGUUGGAGGGUUUCCGCCCUUCAGUGCUGCAGCUAACGCAUUAAGCAUUCCGCCUGGGGAGUACGGCCGCAAGGCUGAAACUCAAAGGAAUUGACGGGGGCCCGCACAAGCGGUGGAGCAUGUGGUUUAAUUCGAAGCUACGCGAAGAACCUUACCAGGUCUUGACAUACUAUGCAAAUCUAAGAGAUUAGACGUUCCCUUCGGGGACAUGGAUACAGGUGGUGCAUGGUUGUCGUCAGCUCGUGUCGUGAGAUGUUGGGUUAAGUCCCGCAACGAGCGCAACCCUUAUUAUCAGUUGCCAGCAUUAAGUUGGGCACUCUGGUGAGACUGCCGGUGACAAACCGGAGGAAGGUGGGGAUGACGUCAAAUCAUCAUGCCCCUUAUGACCUGGGCUACACACGUGCUACAAUGGAUGGUACAACGAGUUGCGAACUCGCGAGAGUAAGCUAAUCUCUUAAAGCCAUUCUCAGUUCGGAUUGUAGGCUGCAACUCGCCUACAUGAAGUCGGAAUCGCUAGUAAUCGCGGAUCAGCAUGCCGCGGUGAAUACGUUCCCGGGCCUUGUACACACCGCCCGUCACACCAUGAGAGUUUGUAACACCCAAAGUCGGUGGGGUAACCUUUUAGGAACCAGCCGCCUAAGGUGGGACAGAUGAUUAGGGUGAAG
Molecule: ribosomal RNA, 1494 nt
Filed under: Lactiplantibacillus pentosus
Lineage: Bacteria; Bacillati; Bacillota; Bacilli; Lactobacillales; Lactobacillaceae
Description: bacterial SSU rRNA
Rfam family: Bacterial small subunit ribosomal RNA
Source: RNAcentral